This 175-nucleotide ribosomal RNA is filed under the name Clostridioides difficile. RNAcentral's name for it is "partial 23S ribosomal RNA". It matches the Rfam family "Bacterial large subunit ribosomal RNA", at positions 1339 to 1511 of the family's 2925-position model. Lineage: Bacteria; Bacillati; Bacillota; Clostridia; Peptostreptococcales; Peptostreptococcaceae. The record is from RNAcentral.
GUAAACCCAAGGUUUCCAGGGGAAGGUUCGUCCGCCCGGGGUGAAUCGGGACCGAAGCUGGGGCCGAAAGGCGGAGGGGAGGGAGAACAGGUUGAUAGUCCUGUACUACCGAUAACCGUUUGAGAGAUGGGAUGACACAGUAGGAUAAGCUCGGCCCGCUGUGGGUGGGGUGGGC